RNAcentral lists this transfer RNA (73 nucleotides) under Ailuropoda melanoleuca (giant panda). It matches the Rfam family "tRNA". From Rfam's summary of the family: Transfer RNA (tRNA) molecules are approximately 80 nucleotides in length. Their secondary structure includes four short double-helical elements and three loops (D, anti-codon, and T loops). Further hydrogen bonds mediate the characteristic L-shaped molecular structure. tRNAs have two regions of fundamental functional importance: the anti-codon, which is responsible for specific mRNA codon recognition, and the 3' end, to which the tRNAs corresponding amino acid is attached (by aminoacyl-tRNA synthetases). tRNAs cope with the degeneracy of the genetic code in two manners: having more than one tRNA (with a specific anti-codon) for a particular amino acid; and 'wobble' base-pairing, i.e. permitting non-standard base-pairing at the 3rd anti-codon position. Lineage: Eukaryota; Metazoa; Chordata; Mammalia; Carnivora; Ursidae. The record is from Rfam by way of RNAcentral.
ACCUGGCUGGUUCAGUUGAUAGAGCAUGUGACUCUUGAUAUCAGGGUUGUGGGCUUGAGUCCCACGUUGGGUG